CAAUAGCGUAUAUUAAAGUUGCUGCGUUUAAAAAGCUCGUAGUUGGAUCUCGGUUCCAGGCCUGCGGUCCGCCUCGAGGCGGAUACUGCUCGUCCUGCGUUCGACGUCGUGGUGGUCCCUUGGUGCUCUUGACUGAGUGUCUCGGGCGGUCCCGAACGUUUACUUUGAAAAAAUUAGAGUGCUCAAAGCAGGCGUAUCGCCUGAAUAAUUCCGCAUGGAAUAAUGGAAUAGGACCUCGGUUCCAGUUUCGUUGGUUUGCGAAUCCUUGAGGUAAUGAUUAAUAGGGACUGCCGGGGGCAUACGUAUUGCGGCGGGAGAGGUGAAAUUCGUGGAUCGCCGCAAGACGAACGACAGCGAAAGCAUUUGCCAAGAAUGUUCUCAUUAAUCAAGAACGAAAGUCAGAGGUUCGAAGACGAUCAGAUACCGUCGUAGUUCUGACCCUAAACGAUGCCGACCGUCGAUCCGCCGGAGUUACUACCAUGACUCGGCGGGAAGCCUCCGGGAAACCAAAGUCUUUGGGUUCCGGGGGGAGUAUGGUUGCAAAACUGAAACUUAAAGGAANUGACGGAAGG
RNAcentral lists this ribosomal RNA (572 nucleotides) under Abra tenuis. RNAcentral's name for it is "SSU rRNA". It matches the Rfam family "Eukaryotic small subunit ribosomal RNA", at positions 592 to 1163 of the family's 1831-position model. The record is from RNAcentral. Lineage: Eukaryota; Metazoa; Mollusca; Bivalvia; Cardiida; Semelidae.